UACGGAGGGUGCAAGCGUUAUCCGGAUUUACUGGGUUUAAAGGGUGCGUAGGCGGCCGAAUAAGUCAGUCGUGAAAUGCCUCCGCUUAACGGAGUGAAGUGCGAUUGAUACUGUUUGGCUUGAAUCAGGUUGAGGUAGGCGGAAUGUGGCAUGUAGCGGUGAAAUGCUUAGAUAUGCCAUAGAACACCGAUUGCGAAGGCAGCUUGCUGGGCCUGUAUUGACGCUGAGGCACGAAAGCGUGGGGAGCAAACAGG
RNAcentral lists this ribosomal RNA (254 nucleotides) under uncultured bacterium. RNAcentral's name for it is "partial 16S ribosomal RNA". It matches the Rfam family "Bacterial small subunit ribosomal RNA", at positions 524 to 776 of the family's 1533-position model. The record is from RNAcentral.